ACACCGUUAUGUAAAUUAUUACCGAGUUAAGGGUAAUUUCUCCGUAUCCCCACAUGCGCUCGCCGCUGCGCCGCCAUCGUGACAUCGUUCAACUUGAAGUUUGCAAUAUGGAAUCAUGCAGCAACUUCUGAGCGAUUGGGGAUUCGCACAUUUGGUGUCCGCAUUUGAAGAUCCGACUUUGCAAUUCUGCAACCUGAUGCUGCCAACAACCUCUACAGUAAAUGGCCUACACUGUCAGAACAUCUGCUUACAUACUGUCCAAAGACGUGUCCAUCAUGGGAGUCAUUGGUGUUAGAGCAGGAUAUUGAGCUGAAGAAUCUCACAUCAGAGCAAAGGAAGAAUUUGGCUGUGCUUGUUCUGCCGAUCCCUUUUACAGGAAAACUCAAGCUUGGAGCAGUACCUAAAAGAUACACAGUCUCAGUCCUACAUCCUUGCUUUGGGAGGGUCAUCUGUUUCACCUCAGCAAUGAGUGUUAUCAUCAAGAGGCCCUGGAUGUGUGUUUUAAAUCGUACUUCGCAUGUGACCUGAAAUAUCAAGACAAGUGCUGCGUGGCAUGGGAAUUCCUAGAGGCUGUGGUUUAUGGGAUCAAAGGCAAUGUGAAGAGCAGGGCCAUCAGGGACUUCAGAGUCUUCUGCUCCUGCAAAGACCAUCAGCCUUGGUGAGGUCAUCUUGAAAGAGCCCUACCUUCCAGAAGAAACAAACCAGGAUUUAGAGGACAGAGAGUGAACAAGGUGGACUCCAUCUGGGAGAAACAGAAACUUGGUUUGGAGCAGGAGAGGCUCAAAGUUGAUAAGGAGCAGCUGAAAGUUUCUUAGCAGAUUUCAGUUUCACUAAGUGAACUAAGCCACAAUGUUCAGUUGUUGGUCAGUGACAUAUUAGAGAAAGAAACUUAAGAAGCAGUCAUGUAAUAAAAGCAAAUUAUAACAACAAAUUAUAUUGGUAUAAUAAGAACAAGUUAUUACAUUGAAAAACAGGCUUUGAGAUGCAUGAUGGGGGCAAACAAAUGGACCCUUUUCAACAGUUAUUCCUUGUUAUGCUCAGCACUAAGGUACAUGUCAAGAACUGCAUGAGCAUGCCCAUACUUCAAAACGAAAAAGAGCCAUUUUGUCUGCCACUACCAUGUAUCCAAAGUCUCUCAUUGUAUGUUACUGCACAUGGAAAUUGUAAGUUUGACAUAACCUUAAAUGGAGCUUAUUUCUCUUGAGUGCAAAAACUCAUUGAUAAUUAAGCAUCUCUACUGCCUGUAACACAGUCUGAAUAUCAACCCUGGAUUUACACAAAAAUUUGCAAACAUUGAACAAACAAAACAGUUGUGGUUGGUGUUCUUUUCCUUUCCAUUUAAUUACUGCUUCAAUAGAAUGGAUGUAGUCUCAACGGAUUAGACAAACAGAAGGGUUUACUAAUUCUUGAUGGGAACAACUGCCUGGGAAGAAUAGAGAAAUUAUGUUAAUUUGUCAAAAGUAAGUAUUAAUUAUUCUCCUUCUCUGUAUCGUGCCAUCUUGGAUUGGGCCAUCAUAUGGUAUGCCCUCAUCAUCC
Acanthaster planci (crown-of-thorns starfish) is the source of this 1536-nucleotide long non-coding RNA. Lineage: Eukaryota; Metazoa; Echinodermata; Asteroidea; Valvatida; Acanthasteridae. The record is from RefSeq and is a predicted model, not a curated record.